RNAcentral lists this transfer RNA (71 nucleotides) under Marinobacter sp. 34-60-7. RNAcentral describes it as "tRNA-His". It matches the Rfam family "tRNA". Rfam says of the family: Transfer RNA (tRNA) molecules are approximately 80 nucleotides in length. Lineage: Bacteria; Pseudomonadati; Pseudomonadota; Gammaproteobacteria; Pseudomonadales; Marinobacteraceae. The record is from RNAcentral.
GUGGACGUAGCUCAGUUGGUAGAGCUCAGGAUUGUGACUCCUGCGGUCGAGGGUUUUCAUCUUCGUUUUCC